Molecule: unclassified non-coding RNA, 336 nt
Filed under: soil metagenome
Description: partial contains 5.8S ribosomal RNA, internal transcribed spacer 2, and large subunit ribosomal RNA
Rfam family: 5.8S ribosomal RNA (bases 1-120)
Source: RNAcentral
GAUGAAGAACGCAGCGAAAUGCGAUAAGUAAUGUGAAUUGCAGAACUCAGUGAAUCAUCGAAUCUUUGAACGCACAUUGCGCCCCUUGGUAUUCCAUGGGGCAUGCCUGUUCGAGCGUCAUUUGUACCUUCAAGCUUUGCUUGGUGUUGGGUGUUUGUCUCGCCUUUGCGUGUAGACUCGCCUUAAAAUAAUUGGCAGCCGGCGUAUUGAUUUCGGAGCGCAGUACAUCUCGCGCUUUGCACUCAUAACGACAGCGUCCAAAAGUACAUUUUACACUCUUGACCUCGGAUCAGGUAGGGAUACCCGCUGAACUUAAGCAUAUCAAUAAGCGGAGGA